This 229-nucleotide ribosomal RNA is filed under the name uncultured bacterium. Its description in RNAcentral is "partial 16S ribosomal RNA". It matches the Rfam family "Bacterial small subunit ribosomal RNA", at positions 568 to 796 of the family's 1533-position model. The record is from RNAcentral.
CACGCAGGCGGUCUUGCCAGUCAGAUGUGAAAGCCCGGGGCUCAACCCCGGAAGUGCAUUUGAAACUACAAGACUUGAGUACGGUAGAGGAGAGGGGAAUUCCUGGUGUAGAGGUGAAAUUCGUAGAUAUCAGGAGGAACACCGGUGGCGAAGGCGCCUCUCUGGACCGAAACUGACGCUGAGGUGCGAAGGCGUGGGUAGCGAACAGGAUUAGAUACCCUGGUAGUCC